AUUCCCCUUCUCCAAGGCAAGUCAUUAAAGCGCCCUGGCAUUGCCUGAGGAUAGACGAAGGAGAAAGCACAUGUCCCUCCCCAGCAAGACCCCACUUUCUUUUGGGGCCUGCAGGUGGAGCUGACAGU
Molecule: small nucleolar RNA, 128 nt
Organism: Prolemur simus (greater bamboo lemur)
Lineage: Eukaryota; Metazoa; Chordata; Mammalia; Primates; Lemuridae
Source: Ensembl